RNAcentral lists this long non-coding RNA (950 nucleotides) under Zonotrichia albicollis (white-throated sparrow). Its description in RNAcentral is "lncRNA (ENSZALG00000006374.1)". The record is from RNAcentral. Lineage: Eukaryota; Metazoa; Chordata; Aves; Passeriformes; Passerellidae.
GCAGUGUGACAGGAAUGCUGCUGCUUCUCCCUGUGUCAGCUAUUCGCUGUCCUCGGGAAAGCAAAAUGGUUUUCCUGAGAGGUUUUCUCUCACACAUCCUUCCUUUGCAGUGCAGCAGAAGGCACUGAUAUUUCACUGCUGGGAAAAUGAGAUCAGAGGUUAAAUCUGGUCUCUAAGGUAUAGAGGAAGUUCCAUUUUAUUACCCUUCUCUUCACUGAAUUGUGAAAAGCUGUGACUGAGUUUGUUUUUCUUUCCUCUUUACAGGUCCCCUACAAGAAUGGCUGGAAACAUAUCAUCAGGAUCUGGAAUCCAUGGGGCCAUGGGGAGUGGAAGGGGCCCUGGAGUGAUAACUCUCCUCAGUGGGACCGUGUUGAGCCUAAAUACAGAGAAGCCCUCCUCAGAAAUAAGGAUGAUGGAGAAUUCUGGAUGUGCUGUAAGGAUUUCCAGGAGCAGUUUUCAUGGCUGUACAUAUGUAACAACACCCCAACAUUCCUGGACUUUGGAGAUGAGCACGGCACAGCAGCGUGGUCUCUGACCAGCUACACCAACCUGUGGAGCCCGGGCCUUCCCUCCAGGAGGAGCCGCUAUUCCCGGGGUGCAGCUUCUACAAAUCCUCAGUAUUUUUUCAAAGUGCUAGAUCACAAUCCAAAAACCCGUAAUGUAGCCAUUUCACUCAUGCAAAAACCCGCUGAGCACACGCAGGAUGAAAGAAACAUGGGGAUUGGCUUUUUCAUCACCAUGGAGAACUCCAGAGUUCUGGAGCAAACCUUUCUCCAGGCUCGAGAUGUGACCAGCUGCCUGACCCUGAGCCCAGGAACCUACGCCGUGGUUCCUGCUGCAGCAGAGGAUCAGGAAUUCCAAUUUCUCCUAAGGAUUUUCAUAAAGAAUCAGGACUACCAUGAGUAAGAUGAUGCACACUCCUUAAAGGCCCCAGAGCCAGAGAGUGCCAG